This 519-nucleotide ribosomal RNA is filed under the name uncultured bacterium. RNAcentral describes it as "bacterial SSU rRNA". It matches the Rfam family "Bacterial small subunit ribosomal RNA", at positions 8 to 518 of the family's 1533-position model. The record is from RNAcentral.
AGAGUUUGAUUAUGGCUCAGGAUGAACGCUAGCUACAGGCUUAACACAUGCAAGUCGAGGGGCAGCAUUUGCUAGCAAUAGUAAAGAUGGCGACCGGCGCACGGGUGAGUAACACGUAUCCAACCUACCGUUAACUCGGGGAUAGCCUUUCGAAAGAAAGAUUAAUACUCGAUAGUAUAUGUUUCCCGCAUGAGAGACAUAUUAAAGAAUUUCGGUUAUCGAUGGGGAUGCGUUCCAUUAGGCAGUUGGUGAGGUAACGGCUCACCAAACCUUCGAUGGAUAGGGGUUCUGAGAGGAAGGUCCCCCACAUUGGAACUGAGACACGGUCCAAACUCCUACGGGAGGCAGCAGUGAGGAAUAUUGGUCAAUGGGCGUAGGCCUGAACCAGCCAAGUAGCGUGAAAAGGAUGACUGCCUUAUGGGUUGUAAACUUCUUUUAUAUGGGAAUAAAGUGAUCCACGUGUGGAUUUUUGUAUGUAUCAUAUGAAUAAGGAUCGGCUAACUCCGUGCCAGCCGCGGC